This 409-nucleotide ribosomal RNA is filed under the name Bacillota bacterium. Its description in RNAcentral is "Firmicutes bacterium partial 16S ribosomal RNA". It matches the Rfam family "Bacterial small subunit ribosomal RNA", at positions 355 to 776 of the family's 1533-position model. Lineage: Bacteria; Bacillati; Bacillota. The record is from RNAcentral.
UGGGGAAUAUUGCACAAUGGGCGAAAGCCUGAUGCAGCGACGCCGCGUGAGGGAUGACGGCCUUCGGGUUGUAAACCUCUUUCAGCAGGGCCGAAGCGCAAGUGACGGUACCUGCAGAAGAAGCACCGGCUAACUACGUGCCAGCAGCCGCGGUAAUACGUAGGGUGCAAGCGUUGUCCGGAAUUACUGGGCGUAAAGAGUUCGUAGGCGGUUUGUCGCGUCGUUUGUGAAAACCAGCAGCUCAACUGCUGGCUUGCAGGCGAUACGGGCAGACUUGAGUACUGCAGGGGAAACUGGAAUUCCUGGUGUAGCGGUGAAAUGCGCAGAUAUCAGGAGGAACACCGGUGGCGAAGGCGGGUCUCUGGGCAGUAACUGACGCUGAGGAACGAAAGCGUGGGUAGCGAACAGG